AAGCGGUAGAGUUUAGUGAAGGAGGAAGCGAAGAGGCCCCUCAGAACCGCUACCUCCUGGGGGCAGCGUUUUUUCAACCAGCCCUGGAAACACAAUUCAUACUAUGACCAACACCAUGGUCAUUUUCCGGUUCUGAAAUAAACAAAACCUUUAUUCACCUCCAAUAUUGGGCUCCAGCUGAGCACGGAAGAGCUCAUGAACACCAUGCCGUUGCGUGAUACGGUGGCUGGAGAGGCGUUGUCGAUGUUAUGCGGCUCAAACGCCACCUUACAGUUGGGUGCCAUCGGUAUGCGGUCUCCAUUUGCCAAAUGUGGGCCAGAUGAUCAGCCUGCAGUGUUUGCAGUGGGCGAGAAGAGGCGAGAAGAGCUGCGGCAGGGCAACCCGUGGCUGCUUCACAGUUUCAACAAGCCUGCUCACAAUGCCCUGAGCAUCUGACAGUUCGCUGUGCUGGACCAACCUUCCAACUCACCCGACCUGGCUGUGUGGGAUUUUUUUCCCCCUUCCCCAAACUCAAGGGGGUCAUCAAGGGGAUUCGUUCUUAGGACAUGGACAACAUCAAGCUGGCCGUGACACUGGGGCUUCCAGGAGUACAUGAAGGUGUAGCAGAGACGGCUGGAAAAGUAAACUCCGGGGGAUUUAGUUCAAAGUGUUUUCCUCCAGAGGGUUGAGAAGAUGCCAUCCGUCCAAUCGUUUGUAGCCACAUCAAGUCGACCAAACAUCUGAGGUGCGGUGAUGGCUUUGGGGUUCAUGCGCAUCUCCCUGUGAGGUUGACCACAUUCUAGGAGAGGAAGGUAAGCACAAUUGAAAUCUGCUGGGCUGCCACCGACAGGACGGGAAGGUCAAUGCGGUUGAAUUCGUCAAAACAUCCCCACGAACCAGACUGAGCAAGACCUGCGAAUCAUACACAGACCACGAACAGAUUAGUUUGCUUUAAAUAAAGUGACGGCACAAGCCAUUAUCUUUUGUAGUCAAAACCGAACACCGAAGCACUGUUAGCAUUAGCAUACUUGCUCCGACUUACCCUUGAAUAUUCUUCCCAGACCUCUGAAGUCCAUCUGGUCCGAACAGUUGAAGACCACCACGUACUUCCCCAGACAGCGACCCAUAUCUUUAAUGGUCUCUGUUUUACCUAAAACAACAGAACAAGUUUUUCCAACAAAAGAGACAUUCGUUGAUUUUUAGGCUACACCUACUGAAAAUAAGAGUCAUCGUCCCGCCAAAAGAAAUGUGCAACUGUGUAUGUGUAUAUUCUAGCUGCCUUCAAUGUAACUUUUGUGGAUGACUCGUUCAACUCCUUUGAGACGAGUUGCUGAAUUCUUCAAAUGUGAACAGUUUCAUCCAUCCAACCAUUUUCUGAACCGCUUAUGUUUGUGAAAAUCCCCAAACGUUCAGGGUGUUUCUCUUACCUGUUCCUGCAGGGCCAGCAGGUGCUCCACCCAUACUCAUACAGAGAGCCUGUGCAAGAGUGAUGUAGCACCUACGUCACAUAUGUGGACAUAGAACAGGCUGUUACAUUCACACAUUAAUACGGUAAAAUUAUUCUAUGCGCUGCCUCGAAAAGGUAUUCAACCCCUUGGCUUUUUUUUUUAACCUUUUUUGUUAUGGAUCUGUACAACAUUGUCAAAGUUUUGAAGUGAAAUGAGAAAAACAAAUAGUAAAGAUGUUUUUAAUGGAAGAAAAAAAAAAGGGAAAUUGGCACACAAUCUAAAUCUUUGAUGAAUCCCCAAAUCCAAAUAACAUGGCAGUGCCACUAACCUGCCCAGGGAGGGCUGCCCACCAAAACUUUGGGAGCAGGCAAGGGGGGGCAUUAAUCAAAGAGGCACCCUGGAGAAGCUGCAGAGUUUCCCAGCAGACGCGGGAGUAUCUGUCCAUAGGACCACAACAAACCCGGGCCGUUUUCUUUGAAUUGGGCGGCAUUCUCUGAGAAAUGUUGGCUUCUUUGGAGCAAGACUGGCCUUAUAAUUGUAUGCAACACUUUUUUUUUUAAUGUCCUCUAGAACAAAUCCAAAAACUGUUGUUACACGCACAAAAGUGCAAAAAGUUUUUUUUUGUCUGGAAUCCUCACUGUCCUUUCUGCUGUCCAUUUCCAUUGUUUCCCUUUUUCAAACCUGAGGCUGUGGCUGAGGGAGAAUGAAGGGCAGACAAUGACAAUAUAGAGUGGAGCAAAUGAGUGACAGACAAGAACAGCAGUGGACACUGUCAGUGAAGAAAACAGCGUGGAAAGAUGUCAGAGAGAAUCAGAGCUCUUUUGGUUUCUGCGUGCAAGUGGCCAGCAGCAGCAAGCUGCUGCUGCCGAAAGAUGCCGGCAAGUCACUUCCCGCCGCUGCCGUCGCUUCGCAUUGCUUCGCCUUUGCUGCGUGGAUGUCAGACAAUGCUUGUAGGUUGAUUACUGUGUCUGUCUUUCUGUCUGUCUGUCUAUGCGCUGCCGUGUUGCGCGCAACAAAUGAGGGCCCGCCUGUCAGUCACACUGACUGACUGCUGUGUAAAUGAGGCAUUGCUCACAGCAAGACAUGAUGGACUGCUUAGCGGGAGACAUACAGUCCAAUCGUCUGAUGUGCAAGUCUCCCCAUACUGAAUUCAAUCUAAAUUGUUUAACGUGACUGGUGUCUUGUUUUUGAUCACAUUUAAAACCACUUUAAACCGUCACAUGCAUUAUAAGAAGCUUAUUAUUUUGAAGAAGGAAAUGAGAGUAUUGUCGCUCUCCUUUCUGAUUGACAGCUGGAAAUAAGAAAGUGGAAACUCUGGCCUUGCUAAAGUGCCUCCAUUCAUGGCCCAAAUAAUUUGAUUAUCCCCUUCACUCCUUUCAUGAUGUGGACCUGAUCUUCGUACUCCUUUGGCCACAUUUGUGCCACUGAAAUCUUGAUUGGUUUCUGUGAGUGUAUCAUGAUGUGGCAAAUGUAUAUACAGUAGUAGAAGGACAAUUUCCACCCUGUUAAGUCAAACAAAUAUAUUUAUUUUUGUUUUUCUAAAUUCGCCAUUUUGUGUUUGUAUUUAACCUCGUGCGUGGCACUUACCUGUCAGUCAAGGGCGUAAUGACAAGCCUUUCGGUGCAACCCAAAAACUCAUUCUGGUAGACAAAUCCAACGUCCGUGAUGCUGAUGAUCAUUUUGUCGGAGUCCUCAUUGAAGUAGAAACGACACUGCUUCAACCACUCAAAGUCUCCGGGACUUUUGACAUGCAGUCGGUACUUGAUAAUGAACGUGGAAAAGGAAGAAGGAGGUUUAAUAAGGGCGUCAGGUUAGGAUUUAUGAAGGGAUAGUGGUUGAAAUUAAUUUACAAAGAGACGGUGGGUGGAAGGUGAGAAGAAAAGGAAAGCGAGGAGGUUAAAAAUGGAUGGUGGGGAAGAUGGAAGGCAAGGAGCACAUUAAAAUGAGUUUAUGUAUUAAGGUGGCAGCAGUAGGAAGGAUGAAUGAGUCACAAAAGCAAAAAUAGAGAAGGCUUAACUCGGAGGAAGGGUAACAAGGACGGAUACAAAUAAUAAUAUUGGAGAACACAUGGGUCAAAUGAAGGGAAAUAAUACAAAGUACAUCAAACAAAUGCACUUCUUGUUCUCCUUGGUGACGAGGAAGCCAAUUAUUGUGACUAAAAUAGAGCCUUUCGUAACAUCUAAAAAAAAAAAUAAUUAAUCAAAUAAAAGGCUGAAUAUGUUUUUCUCUGACCAUACUCUUUUCAAAUAAUGUUGUUCUGAAAGCCAGAGCCUUGCCUGUUGCUUAAA
This is a long non-coding RNA of Phyllopteryx taeniolatus (common seadragon), 3715 nucleotides long. RefSeq lists it as uncharacterized. Lineage: Eukaryota; Metazoa; Chordata; Actinopteri; Syngnathiformes; Syngnathidae. The transcript has 5 exons. The record is from RefSeq and is a predicted model, not a curated record.